RNAcentral lists this transfer RNA (72 nucleotides) under Synapturanus sp. QCAZ 59998. RNAcentral's name for it is "tRNA-Leu". The record is from RNAcentral. Lineage: Eukaryota; Metazoa; Chordata; Amphibia; Anura; Microhylidae.
GCUUUUAAAGGAAAACAGCUUUCCCUUGGACUUAGGCUCCAACAAUUCUCAGCGCAAAUCUGAGUAAAAGCC